Macrobrachium nipponense is the source of this 5072-nucleotide long non-coding RNA. RefSeq lists it as uncharacterized. The record is from RefSeq and is a predicted model, not a curated record. Lineage: Eukaryota; Metazoa; Arthropoda; Malacostraca; Decapoda; Palaemonidae. The transcript has 5 exons.
GAUAGGGCUAGGCCCCCUCUCUAACCACUGACAAGAGUGACAACCUUCUGGCGUUUUAAUGAGCUUCUUGAGAUGUAUCAAACCUCUUAUGGACAGAGUCAGCAGACUAUAAAUCCAAAAGGGUUCCAAGGGAAAAUCAACUUGCAGAGAAAGACAAGUUAAAGGAAAAUGUGAUAAAAGAUAUUGGAAAUAGAAAAUCAACCUAAUACACUGGAAAUUGAAGAGACACCAGCACACUGCAGGAAUGAAUUUGCUUCUCACUUAAAUAUCUGGAGACAAGAAGACUACAACUGCAAUAGGCAAACUAUUUCACAUUUUAGUUCAAGCCUAAAAGUUGUAGCAAACAGAGUAGUAUUAAGCCUGAUGCUGAAAUGUGUCUUCAAAUUCACAGUUGAUAUACUAUGUAUGGGUACAAAUAUAUUUGAAAUAAAACUAAGCGAAACUUUUAGAAAAGGCUUCAUUUUUAAAUGUAUUAAUACCCAUACAUAACCGUGGAAUUGCUUCUUCAUUUCAAGACUCGUCCUACUAGAUAUGAGUAUUUUUUAGUUGUAUUUCAUGAGCAUCACAUUUAAUACUACAGAUAGAAAACUGCUCUUGGUUAUAUGGGUAUGGUCUUCAAAGACUUUGGUACUAGACUACAGACUUCAAUCCUUUGUAUAUGAAAUGUAUAAGUCCCAGUUUCAGGGUAUGUCAGUAAGAUGGAUAAGCUUUUACUAUAUCGUCUUUUUUCAACUGGGCUAAAAUUGAAAAGACUGUUUUAAGACCUAAAACUUGCUUACUAUUAGGGAUUGUUUUAGCUAGUUCUUUAGAGUAUGUAGUUGAUUGCCUAUUAGAGAUAUACUAAAUAGUAAUGCACAAUGAGAGGGAAUUUAUGACUGUCAUUUUUAUUUUUGUGGACUUAAGACUACAGGUGCUUAAUUGAGUAUAUUAUAAUUUUUGAGAAGGUUGACUACUAAGGCUAAGAUAUAAGAUCUUAGUUUCAGUAAGACCAUGCAUUUAACAAGGAACAUGUCAAAAUUUUCUUCAGCUUGAAGUAACUAGUUAAUUGUGAGUAUACAUACUUUGAUUAUUUUUGUCUAGCUGUUUUUGAAAGUUACAUUGACCACAGCAGCCGCAUUUACCACUGUUUGCUUUUCACUCAAGACAUCAGACUCGUCCAACAUUUAAAACAGUAAUGGUGAAGAACCAGAUUUUUCCCCAGAAUUCUCCACAUGUUGUAAAUUUUGAAUCACAACACAUUGUUCCAUACACACAGAAUAAUAAAGGAUUUUUUUUCCAUCCAUUCAGUACCUUUAAGGUUUCUGCCGGUGCUUGUAAGAUUGUUGAAAUUUUUCAGCUUGUAACAAAAGUACAGUAGUGAACCAUGUAUAAUUUUGAAGUUAGGCAUGUCAGAUAGCCAGUACCGUACGUAUGCAUGAUAAGUUAAGUAUAUCUUAGUUUUACCAGACCACUGAGCUGAUUAACAGUCCUCCUAGGGCUGGCCCGAAAGAUUAGAUAUUUUUACUUAACUAGGAACCAAUUGGAUACCUAGCAAUGGGACCUACAGCUUAUUGUGGGAUUGGAACUACAUAAUAUCGAGAAAUAAAUUUAUAUCACCAGAAAUAAAUUCCACUGGUUCUGCGUUCGCCGAGCCGAGAAUUGAACUUCGGACCACCGGAUUGGUAGCAGAGCGCGAAAUACUCUUCCAACUUGGAACUAGUAUGCAUGAUACAAUGAUGGUAUGAGCUUUAAUGUAAGAUGUCAAGGACUUAAAAGCAGAGUGAUAAUCGUGAAAAUGGGUCACCUGAGUAGAGGCAGCCAUGGUACCAGAUCUAAAUUGUGGAAGUUAUGCGAGCCUAGGAGGGACCCUAAGCAGUCAGGCAUUGAUAGACAACCGUCCUUCAAAAUUUUUUUUGAAGACGAUAGAAGUGACAAUUGACAGUUCACACACUUCAUCCCUCAACCUCCUUCAGCACCUAUGAGAAAACAAGGGUUUUCAUCAUAUAUCAUCUUUUAACGUAACUACUAGAAGACACACUUAUGCCUAAGUGUGGUCUUAUGCCCAAGUGUGGAAAUGUUAGGAUGGCAGAGAAAACUCUAAUACAAGAUCUUGCAGUAUAAAUCAAAAUCUGCUCUGGAUUCCAACAAGCUGCCUUAUCAAGUACCAAUUUGGUUAAAUCGACUACUUAAUUUGGUUAUGAACCAGAGUAUAUAGUGAAAGUAUAGCCUAAGAGGAUCAUAAAUAAUCAUAUUGAUUAUAAUCAAGAGAACAAUCUGCAAGCACCUAGAGAAUCUGAUUGAGAAACUCCAAUGAUCAAUAGAGUAACAGCUAUGUAAACAACCACUCAUUGGUAGAGUGGUAAAGCAAUACUUAUUGAAGACAAAACGAUGAAUGGGAGACUACAACAAUCCCUAAAAAUGUUUGGAUUGAAUCUGCUUUUGCAACAUGCAUAUACUAUUAUUAUAUAGUUCAGUCUUCAAACAAUCAUUAACUUUCUCACUGUUACUACAUCAAUCAGGGACUCAGAACUACAAAGUGAAGAUAAUGAUCAAAAGCUCUGUCAACCUGUUUUAUAGAUCUGAAACUUUCAUGAAGCUACAUAACAGAUGUGGGAAGAAAUUGAUCCAGAGUUUUGCUUGCAUUAAAGUCCCAAAUUUAAUUUACACAGCCAACAAGGGUAUGAAAAACUCCUUAAAACGUUGUCCCUCUCCAUAUACGGAAACUUGUGCAGAAAGCUAUCCUGCAAAAAUAGCAGACCCUUGUGCUGUAUGUCCGAAAGUCAAACCUGGUUCUUAAGAGAAGAUUGAAGAUUGCUAGAAGACUUUGGCAAUUUUCAAUGUCUGGGCAGGCAAGGCUAUACCUUGGAAAGUUUCUACUUUUUAAUGUGCAAACUGAAUGUGUUCCAGGCAUACCCAAGGUGUAGCAGCAUUUGCGCACAUAUUUAAUAUCAGUUGCGAAGAUGUCAGGCAUUUGGGCGUCAUCAGGCCUACCAAGGAUACCAACCUUGGUCAGCCUGUUGUCCCACUUCAUGUCUUCUCACGUUCCUGUUUAGCCCGCCAAGACAGUUUCCAGACCAUCAUCCGUCAACAGUGUACUCUGCUCAGCAUGUUGGGUUGACAUCUGCAGUGAUAACGUCUUUUUGUGUUUCUGCCUCAACCACCAAGACGGUUUCCAGAUCUGCAGCUCUCUCUGCAUCUUUGCCUAGAGCUAUAGUUCCUCUGAUGUCUUCUUAGCUGUCAACGGUGUACUCCGAUUAGUGUUUUGGGUUGGUUACCACAAUGGCGACUUCUGCUCCUGCUCUGUCUUCAGACACUCGUUCAAGUAGCCUUAGACAAAGUUAACUUUGUUUUUCAAGGGAGUCGUGAAGAGGGAACAUCGCAAGCCUCCAUCUUUGUCUUCGUCUUCAGUAAAGAGGAAAUGUCUCAGGCCUCUUAUCUGUCUUCACCUUCAUCUUCUAAUUCAACUUCGUCAUCAUCUGCCAUCAGACCGUGAAGGAUUAGAGUUCGUUACUGCUCCUCACUUGAGAAUUCGUAGGACCAUCUCAGAAUCUUCCUACCCAUAAUCUUCUGACCAUGUAUUUGGCUUUUCUGCUCACGGCAGUGCUUCUGAUGUGGAAGUAUCAUGUCCAAUGCAGGAUAAUUUCAGGACAGUUGGAAGCAAGUGAAGACUGCACAUACACAGCCAAGGAUGUAAUUAAAAGUACAAAAAUUCAGGCCCAUAAGAAACUAUGAUGCAGAUAUCUUGCCUGGCUUUCAGCAUCACUGCAGGUUAGUUACCUGCUGUCAGCUGUUGCAUCAACCAACUGCAAAUGGAUCAUAUUACACCCUAUCAAGUCAGUCCAUGAGGGGAGAAUCUCUAUGACCUGAUAAUUAAGGAUUUUAAAUACUAGUAACAAGUUGUUGCUGAUAAAACCUUUUGGAGUGCAUGUUAAGAAGCAAAAUUCACAGUAAUAAAUGUAAGUUAAGGUAAUUAGCUAAUGUUACCAUUAUCCACGUUUCACAUUUUACUUGGGUUUGUACACUUUAAUUAUUAAAAUCUCUACCCAAAGCUUUGAUGUUCAUUCCCCAGCUUACAGUUUCUCAUUGCUGUCUAAAUGUUCGUCCAUUACCUACACAACUUGCUUCACAAAAAUCAACCUUCAUUCUCAGCUUCAGACUUUUCAAAUAAAAAAUCUCCAGACUAGUAGGCUGUACUACCCAAGCCAAUUCAAAUGAACAUUUUAAAGGAACUUGUGUAAACUCAGAACAAGCACAAUACUGCUUAAGGAAAUAAUAUAAACUGUAAGAUGAAAAAAAAACCAGAAAUCUUGCCCAUCCUUCUCACGAAAAUUGCAAAAUACUGUGUUGUCUGCACCAGACAACCUUCUCUACAUGGCAGUUUAUAACUUGUAACAGAAAGGUGAAAUUUAUAAUUUCUUUGGUAAAAAUGAUAAAAAUGUAGUUGCAAUUAUGCCUGGGAAUAUAGUGCAAUGUACACAAAUCCAAGGAAGUUUUAUAAAUACAUCUAAUAUGAGAAAAAAAUAGCUAUAGCUUUCAGGCUAAAUUUUAGUUUCAUAAGCAUGCUACCCAAAUUCUACUGUCUGCCACAUUCUCUGCAAUCCCAAACCACACAAGAUAUAGCUUCAUAAGCCCUAGCUUAAGUGAUCAUUAACCUGACCAUGUCCACUCCAGUUCUUCUUAAAAUAGGAGACCAAUGACAUUUGUCAGAACUUUCAUCCCUCACACAAAACAAAAAGUCCUUAGAAAAACGAGACCAUGCACAUUUCCCACCUCUUAAGAAGAAUAUUCUCUCAAGGAAAAAUCAUUUAAGAUCACAACAGGAUGGCACACAAAAAUAUAUGCAGGGAAGGCAUAUGUACUUGAGAAAAUAAAAAAAACCUUCAAAACAUCCACCAAACAAAAAUAACAAAAUAGUGAGAUUUUUCAUUGGUGAAAAUAUGCCUUCAAUUGUAAUUAACUUCCAAUUAAGUUUUUUAUUUAAGACCUUUCACUUUCACAACAUUUGAAGUUUAGUAUAGCUUCAUGAGAACAAAGCAACUUCAAACUAUUGUCACAUUUAUAACAAGAUUAAAACCAUCACACUUACCAAUCCA